UACGGAGGGAGCUAGCGUUGUUCGGAAUUACUGGGCGUAAAGCGCACGUAGGCGGCUUUGUAAGUUAGAGGUGAAAGCCCGGGGCUCAACCCCGGAAUUGCCUUUAAGACUGCAUCGCUAGAAUUGUGGAGAGGUAAGUGGAAUUCCGAGUGUAGAGGUGAAAUUCGUAGAUAUUCGGAAGAACACCAGUGGCGAAGGCGGCUCACUGGACUGGUAUUGACGCUGAGGUGCGAAAGCGUGGGGAGCAAACAGG
This 253-nucleotide ribosomal RNA is filed under the name uncultured bacterium. Its description in RNAcentral is "partial 16S ribosomal RNA". It matches the Rfam family "Bacterial small subunit ribosomal RNA", at positions 524 to 776 of the family's 1533-position model. The record is from RNAcentral.